AUGUCUGUCAGGCCUCUGAUGGACUUCCUGAUGCAGCUGGAAGAUUACACAUCUACCAAUCCACAGGCAGUAACUGGUUACUACCUAAGCCAUCCUGGCUUUGAGGCCUCAGACUCACAAAUAAGUCAGUUUAGCUCCUUAGCUGCCCAUAAAUUCAUCUCAGGUAUUGCCAACUAUGCCUUAUAGCACUAAAAAAUGAAGGGCAAAGCCCCUAGCAGCUCAUGAAACAAGAGCAAAGACCACACGUACACCCAAACCAUGGAAAUCUUGACUCCUGCCCUUAGGAAGUAUGGCAUCAAUAUGAAGAAGCUGUACUACUUCUCC
Molecule: long non-coding RNA, 324 nt
Filed under: Homo sapiens (human)
Lineage: Eukaryota; Metazoa; Chordata; Mammalia; Primates; Hominidae
Description: non-protein coding lnc-INTU-2:1
Source: RNAcentral